GGCUCGGUAGCUUAGUUGGAAAAGCACUUGUCUAGCGAAUAAGGGUCCUGAGUUCAAAUCUCACCUGAGCUG
Molecule: non-coding RNA, 72 nt
Organism: Aedes albopictus (Asian tiger mosquito)
Lineage: Eukaryota; Metazoa; Arthropoda; Insecta; Diptera; Culicidae
Source: Rfam